This is a long non-coding RNA of Neofelis nebulosa (Clouded leopard), 3997 nucleotides long. RefSeq lists it as uncharacterized. The record is from RefSeq and is a predicted model, not a curated record. NCBI's taxonomy places the organism in Eukaryota, Metazoa, Chordata, Mammalia, Carnivora, Felidae. The transcript has 2 exons.
UGGGUGGCUCAGUCGGUUAAGCGGCCGACUUCGGCUCAGGUCACGAUCUCGCAGUCCGUGGGUUCGAGCCCCGCGUCGGGCUCUGUGCUGACAGCUCAGAGCCUGGAGCCUGUUUCAGUUUCUGUGUCUCCCUCUCUCUCUGCCCCUCCCCUGUUCAUGCUCUGUCUCUCUCUGUCUCAAAAAUAAAUAAACGUUAAAAAAAAAAAAUUAAAAAAAAAAUCAAUCAUAAUGAAAGACUUUUACCUCUGUUUCCUGACCUAACUCUUCUCUCUUUGGUGAAGGGUGUGUUUUAGAUUUGGGGGACUGGGCAUUUGGGAGACACUUUAAAUUUGGAAACUCGUAUCUUUGAGUUAUGGGAAGUUUUCUUGUAUAGGCUCUUUAGUGAUUUCUUUCUUCUCUGUUUUGUUGUUCUCUUUGGCAUUUUCAUUAGCCAGAUAUGAGACUCCCAGGAUUGUUGCUCUAAACUUUUAACUUUUGUCUUUUGGUUUUCCUUCCUGGGAAGUUUACUCAGUUUUAUCUUACUAUUAAAAAAAAAAAAGUUUAUUUAUUUAAAGUUUUUUUAAUGUUUAUUUAUUUUUGAGAUAGAGACAGAGCAUGAACGGGGGAGGGUCAGAGAGAGAGAGGGAGACACAGAAUCUGAAUCAGGCUCCAGGCUCUGAGCUGUCAGCACAAAGCCCGACACGGGGCUCGAACUCAUGGACCAUGAGAUCAUGACGUGAGCUGAAGUUGGACGCUUAACUGACUGAGCCACCCAGGUGCCCCUAUUUAUUUAUUUUUGAGAGAGAGGGGGAGGGGCAGAGAGAGAGAGAGAGAGAGAGAGAGAGAGAGAGAGAGUCCCAUGCAGCCUCCACACUGUCAGCACAGAGCCCAAUGUGGGGCUUGAACUCAUAAACCUUGAGAUCAUGACCUGAGCUGAAGUCAAGAGUUGGAUGCUUAACCAACUUGAGCCACUCUGCCACCCCCUUAUUUUUCUCUUUUUAAAUAUUUCUGCUAUCAUAUUUUCAACUUCCUUCUCGUUCUGUAUUUCUUUUCUAUCGUAUCCUUUCUUUAUUUUAUGGGUGUGCUAUCUUCUCUUUUCUUCUAAAGAUAUUAAUAAUUGCUAUUUUAUUUAAAUGUUUUUUCUGCUCCUCAUAGUGUCUCUGUUUUCUCUGCAUUCCUUUUCCCAGUUGUUGGCUUUGGGUUCUUUCUUCCAUCGUAGAGGCAUUCCCUAAAUGUCCACUUAUAUUUAACCUUGAGGUGUUUAUUUAUUUAUUUUGAUUUUUUUUUAAACACUUAUUUAUUUUUGAGAGAGCGCACACGGACAAAUGGGGGAGGAGCAGAGAGAGGGAGACCCAGAAUCUGAAGCAGGCUCCAGGCUCCGAGUUGUCAGCACAGAGCCCGACGCGGGGCUCGAACUCACAGGCUGUGAGAUGGUGACCUGAACCAAAGUUGCAUGCUUAGCUGACUGAGCUACCCCAGUGCUCCUAAGCUUGAGGUGUUAAAAGCUCCAUAUAAGUGCUCUGUGUUUGGGUGAGACUUGUUCCUCCAGAAUGUUCCAGGUCCCAGAGCCCAGAGAAUAAACCUCCAGUCUCCUGCCUGGGAGUGACAUGUGCAUGUGCACACACUCUCUCUCUGAGAGUAAAUACAUAAACUUAAAAAAAAAAGCUUCAAGUAAUCAAAAAGAUCCUUAAUGUCUUUGAACAAGCAUCAUGUCCCCUUUACAGAUCUUCAAGGUCAUAAUCUUCUUUGUUCUUCUGAACAAAAAAUGAAAUUUCCCUUGUUUUUGACUGUGUGUCUCAGCUCUUAUGAAAAAAAUAUAUGAUUAGCCAUCCUUCCAGUACCUUCUGAAGUGUGUGCACUCAGGCACACAGGGGUGCAGUGAGGGGUGGGUCUUGGGCGGGGGGGCAUGUACAUAGAGGGAACCUGUGGCAUCUAUGUGUUAAGAACUGGGGUGUGCUAGUUGCUUGACUUCUGGCUGGUGGCUGCUCCCUUCAUGUAGACCUCUUGUGAGUGGCAGAAGCCAUAUUUGAAAAUGCCACGUCUGAGUAUCUUUCCCACAACCAGGUUCAGCAACCUCUGCAAGCCAAGCCAAGCCAUGAAAAGGGAGACCAUGCAGUAGUGUAGUAAAAGCUAAUGUAGGGGCACCUGGUACUUAAUAGCUAGUAUUUAGUGAGAGUGUAGUCCGUGUGGGUCCUCACCGGAGCACUUUACAUAGAUUUACUCAGUUACCCUGCUAGUAAGUGAUGGAGGGGACGUUUAGAGCCUGCUCAGAGCCAACUACCGCACUGUCUUUGUAAGGAAGGCAGGAGGGACGCUAAGCGUAAAAGGGAGGCUUCUUAUACUCACUGGGUGAGCUAGAAAAAAAUUCCUCAUUGUAACUACCAUGAGUGGUAUCUUCUUUGCCUCUCACUAUUUUCUGAUACCUCCUCAGGAUGAGUCAGCUCAGAAUUCCUGGAAUUAACACUGCAUAAGAACGCCCUCCGCUUCUCUUUCUACUGCUACUGUCCUGAUUUGGGCCCUCAUCAUUUCUCAUCUUGACCACUGAGACACUCUCCUGUCUGGUGUCCUUCCCUACAGACUCUCAUCCAUCGGGUCCAUCCUUCACACUUGCUGCCAGAGUGAUCUCUGUUUUAGAAAAAUGCAAGUCUGACUGUGUCCCCCCCUGUUUAUUUAUUUUUUAAUGUUUAUUCAUUUUUGAGAGAGAGAGAGAGCAGGGGAGGGGGAGAGAGAGAGAGAGAGAGGGACAGAGGAUCCGAAGUGGGCUCUGAGCUGACAGCAGUGAGCCCCCCCGAUGCUGGGCUCAAAUCCACCAACCAUGAGAUUGUGAUCUGAGCCGAAGUCAGAUGCUCAACCAACUGAGCCACCCAGGUGCCCUCUCCCCUCCACCCCCUCCCCCGUUUAAAAAACCACCUGAUGGGUCCCCAUUUCCUUCAGGAUAAAGUGCAUGCUCUAGCAUGGCAUUGGGGACUUCUUGGAUUAAUCGCAAAGCACAUCUCCAGCCUUUUCUCUUGCUAGUGAAUUUGGCGGCCCCUUCCUCUCUCCCAAAGCCCUCCUCUGUCCCCACCACCUAUUCUCUCUGGACACAGCAUGCGUCCACCUACCUCAGGAUUCUCACACUGCUUUCUGGAAUGCUCCGCCCCCUCUCCACCCGACUGCCAUUCAUCUUGGGAGGCAGUCAAGGACUGCUUGUCUCCAAGAUCUUCUCUGACCCCCCUGUCCUAUCCCUUCACAGUCAGUAGACUCAAUUCUGCCCUCCUUUGUGUCCUCACCAUGUCCUGGCCAGUCUUCUACAGCACUUAUAGCACACUGCUGCCUUGCUUUUCCAUAUGUUGAUCUUCCCCACAAGAUGGGGCUCUCCCCAAGUUUGGGGCUCAAAUCUUACUGUUGUAGCUCCCCUGCUUGGCACAUAUCGGGACUUAAUAAAUGUAUAGGUCUAUUUAUUUGCAUACGAAUGAAUGGAUUCACUUUCCCUAUUGCAUCGUAUAAUCUUCUAAAAGCUAUUGGGCUUUCUGGAACUUACAUUAAGGAAGUCACAUACCAGCAAUAAUAUCCAGAUAACUCAGCCUGUGCCAAAAUUGCCUGACGAGAUUAUCUGUGCCUCGCAGCUAGGACCACAAUUUUCUGCGUCUUUUAUAUUCUCUUCAUGUCCUGACAUAGUGUUGGAUAUGCACUAUCUGUUUAAAAUGUUUUUGUUGAUUUGAGUUGGCUUGGCUAGGGGAUACAAAAGAGAAAAUGUGGUCCCCGCCAUUAUGGGCCUGACACAUAAAAAGGGAGACAGGAUAGGUCCUGUGCGGGAAAAAAAGCCUCAUUAAAACCAAUUACUGAGACUUUCCUUCAAAGUCCCCAAAGAUGCCUGUACAUAUUCCCAAAGAAGCCCUUACGAAUUACAUGACCCUGGUGAAGGUCUUCCUUCACCGUAUGAUUUGUUGCAGGAAAAAUAAGGACUUUCAAAGCGGUUAAGGUCACUUUGUACUAAGACAGUGGCACUCUAUCAUGUUAAAUAAAAUGUCAGUGGAUA